Molecule: long non-coding RNA, 4161 nt
Organism: Homo sapiens (human)
Lineage: Eukaryota; Metazoa; Chordata; Mammalia; Primates; Hominidae
Gene: HERC2P3
Product: HERC2 pseudogene 3
Source: Ensembl
CCUGGGAGGAAGCUGGAGAAAAGAUGCCCUCUGAAUCUUUGUGUUUGGCUGCCCAGGCUCGCCUCGACUCCAAAUGGUUGAAAACAGAUAUACAGAACUGUUUCAUCACCAGAAAGAUCUCUCUCCUGCCUCUCUUCUGCCACCAUCUCUAACUCCUGCCAACCACUGAUCUGUUCUCCAUCUCUAUAAUUUUGUUACUGUGAGAUUACCAAGUGAUAUGUGACCUUCGGAAAUGAUUUUCUUUACUCAGCAUAAUGCCCUCAGCUUUUGUCUGGUCCUCUGAGCCCCAGUGAGAGUUUCCUGAGGUACCUCACCCUUCCACAAGACAACAGGCUUGCCAUUGAUCUGCAACAAACGGCGGUUGUUGUCAUGGCCCAUUUAGACCGUCUGGCUACACCCUGUAGAUGCCUCCUCUGUGUAGCUCUCCGACGUCUCAUAAGAGUCAUUUUUUACAGGUCAGAACUGUAGAAAUAAUGAGAAAGUGACACUUGUACGCAUAGCUGAUUUGGAGAACCAUAAUAACGAUGGAGGCUUCUGGACUGUGAUUGACGGGAAAGUGUAUGAUAUAAAGGACUUCCAGACACAGUCGUUAACAGAAAAUAGUAUUCUUGCUCAGUUUGCAGGGGAAGACCCAGUGGUAGCUUUGGAAGCUGCUUUGCAGUUUGAAGACACCCGGGAAUCCAUGCACGCAUUUUGUGUUGGCCAGUAUUUGGAGCCUGACCAAGAAGGCGUCACCAUACCAGAUCUGGGGAGUCUCUCCUCACCUCUGAUAGACACAGAGAGGAAUCUGGGCCUGCUUCUCGGAUUACACGCUUCCUAUUUAGCAAUGAGCACACCGCUGUCUCCUGUCGAGAUUGAAUGUGCCAAAUGGCUUCAGUCAUCCAUCUUCUCUGGAGGCCUGCAGACCAGCCAGAUCCACUACAGCUACAACGAGGAGAAAGACGAGGACCACUGCAGCUCCCCAGGGGGCACACCUGCCAGCAAAUCUCGACUCUGCUCCCACAGACGGGCCCUGGGGGACCAUUCCCAGGCAUUUCUGCAAGCCAUUGCAGACAACAACAUUCAGGAUCACAACGUGAAGGACUUUUUGUGUCAAAUAGAAAGGUACUGUAGGCAGUGCCAUUUGACCACACCGAUCAUGUUUCCCCCCGAGCAUCCCGUGGAAGAGGUCGGUCGCUUGCUGUUAUGUUGCCUCUUAAAACAUGAAGAUUUAGGUCAUGUGGCAUUAUCUUUAGUUCAUGCAGGUGCACUUGGUAUUGAGCAAGUAAAGCACAGAACGUUGCCUAAGUCAGUGGUGGAUGUUUGUAGAGUUGUCUACCAAGCAAAAUGUUCGCUCAUUAAGACUCAUCAAGAACAGGGCCGUUCUUACAAGGAGGUCUGCGCUCCUGUCAUCGAACGUUUGAGAUUCCUCUUUAAUGAAUUGAGACCUGCUGUUUGUAAUGACCUCUCUAUAAUGUCUAAGUUUAAAUUGUUAAGUUCUUUGCCCCAUUGGAGGAGGAUAGCUCAGAAGAUAAUUCGAGAACCAAGGAAAAAGAGAGUUCCUAAGAAGCCAGAAUCUACGGAUGAUGAAGAAAAAAUUGGAAACGAAGAGAGUGAUUUAGAAGAAGCUUGCAUUUUGCCUCAUAGUCCAAUAAAUGUGGACAAGAGACCCAUUGCAAUUAAAUCACCCAAGGACAAAUGGCAGCCGCUGUUGAGUACUGUUACAGGUGUUCACAAAUACAAGUGGUUGAAGCAGAAUGUGCAGGGUCUUUAUCCGCAGUCUCCACUCCUCAGUACAAUUGCUGAAUUUGCCCUUAAAGAAGAGCCAGUGGAUGUGGAAAAGAGAAAGUGCCUACUAAAACAGUUGGAGAGAGCAGAGGUUCGCCUGGAAGGGAUAGAUACAAUUUUAAAAUUGUAUCUGGGAACCUCUUACUGAUUGUUUAAAGGAUGUUGAUUUGAUCCCGCCUUUUAAUCGGAUGCUGCUGGAAGUCACCUUUGGCAAGCUGUACGCUUGGGCUGUUCAGAACAUUCGAAAUGUUUUGGUGGAUGCCAGUGCCAAAUUUAAAGAGCUUGAAAUGUCAGUGGGUGCCAAUGCUCACUAGGUAUCCAGCCGGUUCCCCUGCAAACCAUCACCAAUGAGAACCCAUCGGGACCGAGCUUGGGGACCAUCCCGCAAGCCCACUUCCUCCUGGUGAUGCUCAGCAUGCUCACCCUGCAGCACAGCGCAAACAACCUUGACCUCCUGCUCAAUUCCGGCACGCUGGCCCUCGCUCAGACGGCACUGCGCCUGAUUGGCCCCAGUUGUGACAGCGUUGAGGAAGAUAUGAAUGCUUCUGCUCAAGGUGCUUCUGCCACAGUUUUGGAAGAAACAAGGAAGGAAACGGCUCCUGUGCAGCUCCCUGUUUCAGGGCCAGAACUGGCUGCCAUGAUGAAGAUUGGAACAAGGGUCAUGAGAGGUGUGGACUGGAAAUGGGGCGAUCAGGAUAGGCCUCCUCCAGGCCUAGGCCGAGUGAUUGGUGAGCUGGGAGAGGACGGGUGGAUAAGAGUCCAGUGGGACACAGGCAGCACCAACUCCUACAGGAUGGGGAAAGAAGGAAAUUACGACCUCAAGCUGGCAGAGCUGCCAGCCCCUGCACAGCCCUCAGCAGAGGAUUCGGACACAGAGGACGACUCUGAAGCCGAACAAACUGAAAGGAACAUUCACCCCACUGCAAUGAUGUUUACCAGCACUAUUAACUUACUGCAGACUCUUUGUCUGUCUGCUGGAGUUCAUGCUGAGAUCAUGCAGAGUGAAGCCACCAAGACUUUAUGCGGACUGCUGCAAAUGUUAGUGGAAAGCGGAAUGACGGACAAGACAUGCUGGUGUACAGGGAGCAACACCGGAGCUGGUGCACGCUGGGGUUUGUGCAGAGCAUCGCUCUCACGCUGCAGGUGUGCGGCACCCUCAGCUCCCUGCAGUGGAUCACGCUGCUCAUGAAGGUCGUGGAAGGGCACGCACCCUUCACUGCCACCUCGCUGCAGAGGCAGAUCUUAGCUGUGCAUUUGUUGCAAGCAGUCCUUCCGUCAUGGGACAAGACCGAAAGGGCGAGGGACAUGAAAUGCCUCAUGGAGAAGCUGUUUGACUUCUUGGGGAGCUUGCUCACUAUGUGCUCCUCUGACGUGCCGUUACUCAGAGAGUCCACGCUGAGGCGGCGCAGGGUGUGCCCGCAGGCCUCGCUGACUGCCACCCACAGCAGCACACUGGCGGAGGAGGUGGUGGCACUGCUGCACACGCUGCACUCCCUGACUCAGUGGAAUGGGCUCAUCAACAAGUACAUCAACUCCCAGCUCCGCUCCAUCACCCACAGCUUUGCGGGAAGGCCUUCCAAAGGGGCCCAGUUAGAGGACUACUUCCCUGAUUCCGAGAACCCUGAAGUGGGGGGCCUCAUGGCGGUCCUGGCUGUGGUUGGAGGCAUCGAUGGUCGCCUGUGCCUGGGCGGCCAAGUUGUGCACGAUGACUUUGGAGAAGUCACCAUGACUCGCAUCACCCUGAAGGGCAAAAUCACCGUGCAGUUCUCUGACAUGCGGACGUGUCACGUUUGCCCAUUGAAUCAGCUGAAACCACUCCCUGCCGUGGCCUUUAAUGUGAACAACCUGCCCUUCACAGAGCCCAUGCUGUCUGUCUGGGCUCAGUUGGUGAACCUCGCUGGAAGCAAGUUAGAAAAGCACAAAAUAAAGAAAUCGACUAAACAGGCCUUUGCAGGACAAGUGGACCUGGACCUGCUGCGGUGCCAGCAGUUGAAGCUAUACAUCCUGAAAGCAGGUCGGGCGCUGUUCUCCCACCAGGAUAAACUGCGGCAGAUCCUGUCUCAGCCAGCUGUUCAGGAGACUGGAACUGUUCACACAGAUGAUGGAGCAGUGGUAUCACCUGACCUUGGGGACAUGUCUCCUGAAGGGCCGCAGCCCCCCAUGAUCCUCUUGCAGCAGCUGCUGGCCUCGGCCACCCAGCCGUCUCCUGUGAAGGCCAUAUUUGAUAAACAGGAACUUGAGGAAAGAAUGUCCAGAUGUUGUUUUUGGAGAAGAAGAACUACAAAGUUAGAGCAAAUACUCUUAUUUAUAAGAAGAAUGAACUCAGUGUGUGAGAAGGAGAAUACAAAUGCAACAGCCUCAAAUUAGCAGUGGAUGCCUACUGGGCUUCUGCAA